Molecule: ribosomal RNA, 466 nt
Filed under: uncultured bacterium
Lineage: Bacteria
Description: bacterial SSU rRNA
Rfam family: Bacterial small subunit ribosomal RNA
Source: RNAcentral
UCCAGACUCCUACGGGAGGCAGCAGUGAGGAAUAUUGGUCAAUGGGCGCGAGCCUGAACCAGCCAAGUCGCGUGAGGGAGGACGGCCCUACGGGUUGUAAACCUCUUUUGCCGGGGAGCAACGGGCGUCACGUGUGGCGCCACUGAGAGUACCCGGAGAAAAAGCAUCGGCUAACUCCGUGCCAGCAGCCGCGGUAAUACGGAGGAUGCGAGCGUUAUCCGGAUUUAUUGGGUUUAAAGGGUGCGUAGGCGAAUCGUUAGGUCAGGGGUAAAAUGGGGGGCCUCACCCCCUGCCCGCCAUUGAAACUGGCGUUCUUGAGUGGGCGAGAAGUAUGCGGAAUGCGUGGUGUAGCGGUGAAAUGCAUAGAUAUCACGCAGAACUCCGAUUGCGAAGGCAGCAUACCGGCGCCCUACUGACGCUGAGGCACGAAAGCGUGGGUAUCGAACAGGAUUAGAUACCCGGGUAU